AUUUGCUGUGACUGCGUUUAAUCCUUAAUCACAAAUAUGACAAACUUUGUCAUUUCUGUAAGAAAUCUUCAGGAAUAGAUCUCCAGACAUCUUGAAGGACAUUCAAAGCUCUUCUUUGGAUGUUUCUGCCUUCUGUUCUGUUCUCUGUCAAACUGAUCUCACACUGCUUCAAUAAUGUUGAGAUGUGUGCAGAUGCACUCUCACCUGCCUGCUGCCACUCCUGAGCCGCCGCUGCACUAGUGGCACUGAUCCCAUAGCUGACGAUCCUGGUGCUUGCUGGACUUUCUUGGGUGACCUGAAGCCUUUUUCACAACAAUUAAACCUGUUUCCUAAAAGUUCUUGAUGAUCCGACAAAAGGUUAAUUUAGGUGAAAUCUCAGUUGCAACAACCUCCUUGCCUGUCAAACCCUUUUUAUGCAACGCAAUUAUGAAUAAGAAGAAUGAUUUCAAGAAUCCCCUUUUAACACAUCCAGUGUGCUAUUCCAACUCAAUCAGCAUGACAUGAUCUCUAGCCUUGUGCUCAUCAACCUUCUUUCCUGUGCUACCGAGAAGAUUAUUGAAGCGGUCUACUUUUAUGCCAGCGAUGAAAUGCAGUGGAAGUGGGUUUUUUGGGAUUAAGUUCAUUUUCAUGACAGAGAUGAAUUUUGCAAUUCAUCUAAUCACUCUUCAUAACAUUCGAGAGUAUAUGCAAAUUGCCAUCAUAAAAACUGAAGCAGCAUUUGGCCACGACUCCACUGCUCAAGACCACUUUUAAAAAAAAAAAACAAAAACCAAAAAAAAAACUCUGGUUGCUUGGAAGCCAAAUAUGAAGAAAAGAUGGGUGGCUAAAGACUUUUGCACAUGAACAUUCAGAAAGUAAACAAGCAUUUUGAUACACAACCAAUUUACCCUCUGACUAAACAGCUCUAUCCAAUAAAUAUUCUGUUUUGAGCUAUUUUAAAUAUUCUUGUUCAUUAUUUUGCCUAACAUUAUAUAUAUUAUUAAAAACAUCCAGUCAAAUGUUUAGAUAACAGAAAUCUGCCGUGAAAAUAAUAAUAAUAAAAAAAAGAUUAAACAUUUUCCACUAAACUUUGUAUUUUACCUGUAAAUUGUGACAUUUCUCUGAAAAGAAAAAAGUGUGUUGUGUUAUUAAAAGCUCUAAACAUAUAUAAGACACAUAUCAAAGCCAAAUUCCAACAUGUUCAAAGCUUCAUUUUUUAUUUAUUAGUUUUCUUUUCAUCCACGCAGCAGACUC
Molecule: long non-coding RNA, 1233 nt
Organism: Astatotilapia calliptera (eastern happy)
Lineage: Eukaryota; Metazoa; Chordata; Actinopteri; Cichliformes; Cichlidae
Source: Ensembl